UGGCGGACGGGUGAGUAAUGUCUGGGAAACUGCCUGAUGGAGGGGGAUAACUACUGGAAACGGUAGCUAAUACCGCAUAACGUCGCAAGACCAAAGAGGGGGGACCUUCGGGCCUCUUGCCAUCGGAUGUGCCCAGAUGGGAUUAGCUAGUAGGUGGGGUAACGGCUCACCUAGGCGACGAUCCCUAGCUGGUCUGAGAGGAUGACCAGCCACACUGGAACUGAGACACGGUCCAGACUCCUACGGGAGGCAGCAUG
RNAcentral lists this ribosomal RNA (257 nucleotides) under uncultured bacterium. Its description in RNAcentral is "partial 16S ribosomal RNA". It matches the Rfam family "Bacterial small subunit ribosomal RNA", at positions 96 to 353 of the family's 1533-position model. The record is from RNAcentral.